UUUCCGUAGGUGAACCUGCGGAAGGAUCAUUAGUAGAACGGACGGCCCCGCUCCGGCGGGAACGGCCCAACCUCCUAAUCUCGCCCUGUGCACCGUGUCACCCUUUUUUCGCCCUCGUGCGAUCGAAAGUGAAGUCACGAAAUCGAAUACACUACGAGAAAGCAUAAAAUGAAGCAACGGAUCUCUUGGCUCUCGCAUCGAUGAAGAACGCAGC
This 214-nucleotide unclassified non-coding RNA is filed under the name uncultured fungus. RNAcentral describes it as "sequence contains ITS1, 5.8S rRNA gene". The stretch from base 166 to 214 matches the Rfam family "5.8S ribosomal RNA", at positions 1 to 49 of the family's 154-position model. Lineage: Eukaryota; Fungi. The record is from RNAcentral.